GACGAACGCUGGCGGCGUGCUUAACACAUGCAAGUCGAACGGAAAGGCCUGCUUUCCCUUGUGGAUUGCGGGUACUCGAGUGGCGAACGGGUGAGUAACACGUGAGUGAUCUGCCCCCAACUUGGGUAUAAGCCUGGGAAACUGGGUCUAAUUCCCGAUAGGACUGCAGGGUGGUGCCUGUGGUGGAAAACGAUUUUCUAGUGGUUGGGGAUGAGCUCGCGGCCUAUCAGCUUGUUGGUGGGGUAAUGGCCUACCAAGGCGGCGACGGGUAGCCGGCCUGAGAGGGUGGACGGGCACAUUGGGACUGAGAUACGGCCCAGACUACUACGGGAGGAAGCAGUGGGGAAGAUUGCACAAUGGGCGGAAGCCUGAGGCAGCGACGCCGCGUGGGGGAUGACGGCUGUCGGGUUGUAAACUCCUUUCGACCGCGAGGAAGCCACCUGGUUGGAAGGGUGGUGACGGUAGUGGUAGAAGAAGCACCGGCUAACUACGUG
This 494-nucleotide ribosomal RNA is filed under the name uncultured bacterium. Its description in RNAcentral is "partial 16S ribosomal RNA". It matches the Rfam family "Bacterial small subunit ribosomal RNA", at positions 28 to 507 of the family's 1533-position model. The record is from RNAcentral.